GGUUUAGGCUCUUCCUCAGGGUUUCCUCUCUUUGCUGUCUGGCAGCCUCCACUCUAGAUUGAGGGAUAUGCCACUGAGUUCUUGUUGCGGUACGGGUGAGUUUUGGGGAUUUUAUUUUUGUUUUCUUGUUGUUAAACUGCUUGUGUUUAUCUUGUCAGCUGCCGUUGUUACAUUAUGAUAAAUGCAUAAUAAUAAUUCUUCUAAGCCAGGCAUGAGUCCCAUUAAUUUUGUCUCCUGGAACUGUAAAGGUCUUGGUAAAGCGCUUAAAAGCAUAAAGGUGUUUUCAGAUUUAAAAUCACUUUCAUAUGAUAUUGUCUUUCUUCAGGAGACUAAUAUACAGCCAACUGAGCAGAGACGUUUAAGAUCUUCAUGGGAGUCACAGGUUGAUGUAACCUGCACAAAAUAAUCAACCCGUAUUUUAUUUUGGCGGGUCAAACUGACAGCACACUUUAAGAUCCGGGUCACAGGUGACUCGGAUCUCAAUUGCUGUUGCUGCUGUCGCUGUGGCUAGCUGCUCAUCUUGGCGUCUUCUAAACAUAUGGAAGAACAAGACUGGAUCGAGCCUUACUAACACGGCCGAAGGAUUAAAUUGGGUGUUUUCUGUCGACCGCUCGACGGUCAGGUUUUUUUUCCACCCCCUGUGUCAACCCAGGAUGGCGAGCUACCCGGAUCACCGCAGCUUUGCGGUAGGACUUAAAUGAACCAAACUACUUYAUGCAUUCWGGAUCUAAUGCCCUGGAUCAUGGACUAAAAACAGUUGGAUUAUUGAUUGAUGGACCAUUAAUCACCUUGGAUUCAUGAAUGGACUUAAAAUAGAAAAAAACGCUUGGGUGUCAUCAGGGUUUAUUGUUUUGUUGUUUUCCUUGUUUCUUCUUUGUUGUGUCUUUCGGUUAUAUUCAUAGAAAAUCACUGUUAUUAUAAAUAUUAUUAUUAUUGAAUAUCUUCCUAAAUAUAUGCAAGAAUAUACACUUGAAUA
This is a non-coding RNA of Poecilia reticulata (guppy), 976 nucleotides long. The record is from RefSeq and is a predicted model, not a curated record. NCBI's taxonomy places the organism in Eukaryota, Metazoa, Chordata, Actinopteri, Cyprinodontiformes, Poeciliidae.